Ornithorhynchus anatinus (platypus) is the source of this 817-nucleotide long non-coding RNA. RefSeq lists it as uncharacterized. The transcript has 3 exons. Lineage: Eukaryota; Metazoa; Chordata; Mammalia; Monotremata; Ornithorhynchidae. The record is from RefSeq and is a predicted model, not a curated record.
CCAAAGAUAGCCACAGAAGCGGAGGGCGAAGCCGUCGGCCUGAUCGUGGAAGCUCUGAAUGGGGAGAGAGCACGGAUAUGGGAGUCAGAAGACCCAGCUUCUAAUUGUGAAUAAGUGAAACAUCUUCUUGGAGGAGGGCACCUGGAGGCAAUAUGGAGGUGUGCUGGGAUGCAGGAAGAAGCAAGCUCUGGAGCAUCAGGAGAGCAGUAGUGCUUGGAAGCAGAAAGAAGAAGCAUUGGCAGAAUGGGCUUCUUUGCCCACAGACUGGUAUUGGACCCUUGGUGGAAAAGAGCGCCACCAACAGUCUUUACCCAACAGCCCUUUCCAGAGAGAGAUAGAAUCCAGUUAAAUUGCAUUAACUCGGAUGGCCUCCUCACCGUCGUAAAUCUGUAAAAGCCAAGAAGCGGAAAUCCCCCCCAACCUUCCCAAGAGGUAGCUUUCCAAUAGCUCCUAUUUCACAGUGAAAUCUAUCUUGCUGAUUUCCACCGCCAACUGUGCUGGCUUCUUGGUAAGAAAAACGAGAUCAGAGGAUCCAAGUGGUCCCCAGAGGAGGUGAUUCCCUCAAAUGUACUUUGAGAAGACGUUCGCUCCUCUGCCUUCCCCAGGUGCGGCUGGAGAAACAGAGGGCACAGGGGUGCCAGAGAGCCAGAAUAACCUGUCAGAGACACAUGGCAGGCAUUUGUUUUUAAACUGUGAAAUUGGAAGGGGCAUUCCCGAUUUUGAUGUCUCAAGCUGAGAUAGUUUUCUUCUUGAGAGAAAAGGGAAGUUAAGUGAAAAAAUAAUAAAAUGAACUGCCCCUCCAUGUUUAAAACACUCA